AAAUAUUGUUAGUAAAAAAAAAAACCAAUACGGAAAAUCGACCACCUAGUGAAUAAGGCGUGGUUUGGUGUCCAUGGCGGAGCCAUGUCGACGCCUAUCAGCCAAUGGCGACCGUCAUUUGUGAGUCACACAAAUCGUAGGACUGCCAUGACCUCUUUUUUCCGCCAAGAUGCCAAAUCGCCGCCUAGGCUUCGCCAUGACAACUAUGUAUUCAAUAGGUUUGCUGUUUGCUAUAUUGACGUUGAUGUAAUGCUGUAGUGAUGUUGCUAGAUAUAAUGGAAAAUUUGUGCAUAGGUUCAAUAUAAUGUUGUUUCUGUUGUUGGGCGUCUAGGCGAUUGCCUUGUCGCCUAAGUAGUUAGGUGGCCCUCGAAUGCCGUAGGUCUCUUGUGCGACUUGACAACAAUGCUACUCUACUUCACUCUUCUCCAUGCCAUGCUGCGCUGCAAGCAUCUUUUUCUUCCUCCUCUACGGUGGUGGCAGAAACUUUGCAAAAAGGCAAAUGACGUGGUUCAGGAAUGAGCUUAUUUAUCACUGGCUUGAUGCUUCACAGCCACUGGAAAAGGUACUUAACUUUGUUUAUGAUGCAUACCAUCAGCAAACUCAAAACGUGGUGGUGCCAGAUUCACUUAAAAUGAAGAAAGAUUUAUCCCGUCACAGGGAGAUCUCUGAACUGAAGGUUUAUCGCCCAAAAAAUAGGCAUUUUAUCAGUCAUGAAGACUGUUCUGGUGUCUUGGAUUGGAUUUGGAAAACACAAGGAUGAUACAAGGGUUCUGCUCAUUAAGAUUUAAUCCAUCUUUAUUUUGACCACAAAGAGUGACAAAUAGAAAUAGGAUUAUCUUCCAAGCCAACACCAAAUUUUUUUCGGACUUCAGCUUGAAAGGUUUGUAGGGAAGAACUGAACCAGUUCUUUCUUUUUUAUUUUAUUUUAUUUUAUUUAUGUGGUGAAGUCUUAUUCUAUUCUUUCAGAGGAGGUCCAUUGAGUUGGAAACGGGCCCUCCACCCCUAGAGAGAGAGAGAAAGAGAGAGAGAGAGAGAGAGGUAAUGUACAUUAAUUCCUUUUUCUUCUUUUUGGUA
This is an RNA transcript of Macadamia integrifolia, 1074 nucleotides long. It is a transcript of the gene named tRNA dimethylallyltransferase 9-like, with no coding region annotated. The transcript is spliced from 5 exons. The record is from RefSeq and is a predicted model, not a curated record. NCBI's taxonomy places the organism in Eukaryota, Viridiplantae, Streptophyta, Magnoliopsida, Proteales, Proteaceae.